Molecule: non-coding RNA, 1892 nt
Organism: Odocoileus virginianus texanus
Lineage: Eukaryota; Metazoa; Chordata; Mammalia; Artiodactyla; Cervidae
Source: RefSeq, a predicted model, not a curated record
UUGACGCAAAUGCGAUCCCCAGACUACAGCACAAGGCCCGCAGGCACCACAACAACGUGAAAACGUCCACCACGUAAGCCAGCACGUGCCACAGGAGCGUGAAGACGUCUAUCACGUAAGCCCACCCCUCCCCAGGCUGCAAUGACGUGAAGACAAAAACGUGGAGACGUCAACAACGUGAGACGUCAACAACGUGAAGACGUCAACACGUGAAGACGUCAACACGUGAGACAUCAACAUGUGAGGCCCACAUGCCGUCGUGAGGCUGCCGCGUUUGUCCAGACCCCCCUGGUAAGGACACCUUCCUGGUGCUGGGCACACCUGAUGGGACGGCCUAACGUGGAGGAGCAGAGAAUCCAGCGGGGAAGUCAGGUGCCCAGGCCUGGCUGCCUGCCGCGAGGAUCCGGGCACAGGCUGCUUCCUGAGGGUCGGCACUCGGGGGACAGGGCUCGCCUCAGCCCUCUCCCUCCCCACCCCUGGCUUUCCCGAGGGACACGCGCUGGGCUGUAACGCACACUGGUCUUAAGUCCUCUCCCACCCGGAGGCCGUGAGGACAACUGAAAAACCAGCGGGGCGACGGUUGGAUUGUCGCUUCGCAGACUCCAGGCCCUUCCUUUGCCCGACGGACUCGAGAAACACAAAAAUAUAACCCGACACGUCAGGAGAGUCGCCCACGUCUCCCCCGAACCUUAGUGGCUCCUCGUGUCACCCUCACAGAAGCCCCUUCGUGACCGUGACCGUGGUGGUGAGAAGUUGCUUGGAUCCGCCCCUGAGCAGCCAUUUGAUUUGGGCCAAGGCACUGGCCUGGUGAGCCAGCUUCCUUGACUGCAAACGGAGAGCUUUCUUCCCUCAAGGAGAUGAUAGCCAGCUGCUCUCCGGGCACCAUCGGGGCUGGUGGGCUUGGGGUCGGGCGGAAGCUGUCUGCUUCUUGAGAUGAGCAGACACUGAACCAAAAAUCCAUCCCAGGUUCAGCCUGCGAUGGCUCCAAGGCUGACACCUUUACUCUCUCCCUCUCUCUUUUUAAAAGAGCCCCUUUAAUAAGCUCUUUUUUUUUGUUUUUGUUUUUUGCCACACCUAGAGGUACCCACGAUCUUAGUUACCUAAUCAGGGAUCGAACCUAUGCUCCUGCAGUGGGAAGUGCGGAUUCUUAACCUCUGGCCCGCUAGGGAAGUCCCCUAAGCUCUCUCUUUAAAGCAAUCAGUUGUGCUAGGAAUGCAUUUCUGGACGACCCGUUUACAACAAUCUUGUAAUAGACUGUUUCCUUUGAGGUACCAUGCCUGGAAAUACUUUCCUCUUGCUAAAUUGUAUAUUCUGGUACCAGUUUAUAUUCUUAACAAUAGCAUACCUAUUUCCCCACACAGUACUGGCGAUUAUCAAUCUUUAAAAACUGUGUGAAUGUAGUUCUUAUAAUUGUAUUUUCUCUGAUUAGUUAGGUUGAGGACAUAUUCAUGUUUUUUUCUGGGUAUUAUCUGCUUCUAUCCCUUGACCAUUCUAUUCUUCCUUAUUAAUAGGAAUUUUUAAAGGCACAUUAUGGUUAUUGGCUUUUUGUCUGUUUCCAUGUUGUAAAUAUGUAUCUUCUCCCUAUCUGCUUCAUGCCUUUAAGGACACAAAACAUUGUUUUGUGACUUUUUUUAGGACAUCUUUGUUUAGGUCAUCUUUUACCAUAUAAAAUACUCUAACUUAUGCAAUUUCUCCUUGUUAGAAUUUAUGUAGAUUUUGUUUCCCAGUGUAUGGUCAAAUUAUAUAUAUAUAUUCUUUUACUUUUUAAAUAUACAUUGUCAAAUUAUAAAAGGGUUAUAUGUUUGAAAAUAAUAUAUCUUUAUUUUUGUUAUAAAGUUCUACUUGUAUUUCUUAGGUCAAACUUGUUAAAGUGUUACUCAGAUGGUCAGCUU